ACCUCAUCCCUUUCGCGCAACAUGUCUCCCAAAAUUGCUUUUCCCACAAGAACUACACCAAUGCACACCCAGCACAGAGUUGUGCUGCAUCCCGGAGCACUGACACAAGCAGUUAUGCACCAGAACUGUCAACAUCUGUCUCUGGAUUAAACAGGAAGGAGAAAAGAAGAAAUCUUUCCUAUCAGCAGCAGCAGGGGUUGCUGCAGGAAGAUGAUAAUUCCCUCCUGCUACUCCGCUGACAACAACCAAGCUUCACAGGAGGAACAAGGCAUUUUAAUCAUGGAAUUGAAAAACAUAGCAGUUUCUAAAGCUUCAGCUCACCUUGGUUGAUUUACAUUAAUUUAGGAUAAACUGGCUCACCUUGGAAUUGUUAUAUAUGGAAGAUGAGAGGAGGAAGAUUGCAUUAUUUCUAGUUUGCCUGUGCAAUAGCAGACAGGGUAUCUGUGCGUAUAAACAGUUUCAGAGCAUCCUGGAUAAGCAGUGACCACUGAAUUCCUUAAAAGCACAAGGCAAACUUGAGAGCUCCCUUAGUUCCAUACUAUCUACUUAUGGACUCUAUACUCUUUAAAAACACACAGAAUUGAAUGGAAAAGGUGAAAAACCACCGGCAAAUCAGGGCCUGACCGAAUGCCUGCUGAAGCCAUCAAAAAUCCUGUGACAGAGGUUGUAGGGGUUUUGUUUCUGGCUCUUUCAUCAGAUUAUCAUUAUAACAAAAGGCACCUCAUAACAGACUGCUAAGAUAAAUGCAAAUUUUGGGUCAAAGACAGCCAGGCACCCCUAAAAUUAACAAUUUGAGCACACAUCAGUU
RNAcentral lists this long non-coding RNA (808 nucleotides) under Struthio camelus australis. Its description in RNAcentral is "lncRNA (ENSSCUG00000014059.1)". The record is from RNAcentral. Lineage: Eukaryota; Metazoa; Chordata; Aves; Struthioniformes; Struthionidae.